GAUGAACGCUGGCGGCGUGCCUAAUACAUGCAAGUCGAGCGAACAGACGCGGAGCUUGCUCCUCUGACGUUAGCGGCGGACGGGUGAGUAACACGUGGAUAACCUACCUAUAAGACUGGGAUAACUUCGGGAAACCGGAUCUAAUACCGGAUAAUAUAUUGAACCGCAUGGUUCAAUAGUGAAAGACGGUUUUGCUGUCACUUAUAGAUGGAUCCGCGCCGCAUUAGCUAGUUGGUAAGGUAACGGCUUACCAAGGCAACGAUGCGUAGCCGACCUGAGAGGGUGAUCGGCCACACUGGAACUGAGACCCGGUCCAGACUCCUACGGGAGGCAGCAGUAGGGAAUCUUCCGCAAUGGGCGAAAGCCUGACGGAGCAACGCCGCGUGAGUGAUGAAGGUCUUCGGAUCGUAAAACUCUGUUAUUGGGGAAGAACAAAUGUGUAAGUGACUAUGCACGUCUUGACGGUACCUAAUCAGAAAGCCACGGCUAACUACGUG
This 497-nucleotide ribosomal RNA is filed under the name uncultured bacterium. RNAcentral describes it as "partial 16S ribosomal RNA". It matches the Rfam family "Bacterial small subunit ribosomal RNA", at positions 28 to 507 of the family's 1533-position model. The record is from RNAcentral.